CGGUGAAUAGCGCAGUUUGGUAGCGCAUCUGGUUUGGGACCAGAGGGGGUUCGAAUCCCUCUUCACCGACCA
RNAcentral lists this transfer RNA (72 nucleotides) under Photobacterium leiognathi. RNAcentral's name for it is "tRNA-Pro". It matches the Rfam family "tRNA". Rfam says of the family: Transfer RNA (tRNA) molecules are approximately 80 nucleotides in length. Their secondary structure includes four short double-helical elements and three loops (D, anti-codon, and T loops). Further hydrogen bonds mediate the characteristic L-shaped molecular structure. tRNAs have two regions of fundamental functional importance: the anti-codon, which is responsible for specific mRNA codon recognition, and the 3' end, to which the tRNAs corresponding amino acid is attached (by aminoacyl-tRNA synthetases). tRNAs cope with the degeneracy of the genetic code in two manners: having more than one tRNA (with a specific anti-codon) for a particular amino acid; and 'wobble' base-pairing, i.e. permitting non-standard base-pairing at the 3rd anti-codon position. Lineage: Bacteria; Pseudomonadati; Pseudomonadota; Gammaproteobacteria; Vibrionales; Vibrionaceae. The record is from RNAcentral.